RNAcentral lists this ribosomal RNA (439 nucleotides) under uncultured bacterium. Its description in RNAcentral is "partial 16S ribosomal RNA". It matches the Rfam family "Bacterial small subunit ribosomal RNA", at positions 338 to 794 of the family's 1533-position model. The record is from RNAcentral.
CCUACGGGAGGCAGCAGUGGGGAAUAUUGCACAAUGGGGGAAACCCUGAUGCAGCAACGCCGCGUGAGUGACGAAGUAUUUCGGUAUGUAAAGCUCUAUCAGUAGGGAAGAAGAUGACGGUACCUGAUUAAGAAGCCCAGGCUAACUACGUGCCAGCAGCCGCGGGAAUAUGUAGGGGGCCAUCGUUAUCCGGAUGUACUGGGUGUAAAGGGAGCGCAGAGGGCAGUGCAAGUUGGUAGUGAAAGCCCGGGGCCCAACCCCGGAACCGCAUUGGAAACUGUGCGGCUAGGGUACUGGAGGGGCAGGCGGAAUUCCUAGUGUAGCGGUGAAAUGCGUAGAUAUUAGGAGGAACACCAGUGGCGAAGGCGGCCUGCUGGACAGUAACUGACGUUGAGGCUCGAAAGCGUGGGGAGCAAACAGGAUUAGAUACCCUAGUAGC